AUACCCUAUUAUACUUAAAUAUCUCUGGUAGUAUUAGCUUUUUAAGAAACCUUUGCAGUUUGGCGGCAUUUAAUCACUUUAGAGGAACCUGUCUUUUAAUCGACACCCCACGUUAUUUCUCUCUUUUAUUUAUAUCUUAUAUACCUCCGUCUUAAGGAUUAAUAUUUAUAUUUUCCCCUAAAUAGAUUUCUAACAAGUUAGGUAAAGGUGUAGACUAUACAAAAGAUGAGAUGGGUUACUAUAAAUCUUAUUUAAGGAAUCUUAAAUUAAAAUUUUGACGAAAAAGGAUUUAUUAGUAAUAAAAGAAUAAUAAUCUUCCAUGAAAUUGAUAAACAAUGUGCACACAUCGC
RNAcentral lists this ribosomal RNA (350 nucleotides) under Wagneriana aff. pakitza voucher448. Its description in RNAcentral is "partial small subunit ribosomal RNA". Lineage: Eukaryota; Metazoa; Arthropoda; Arachnida; Araneae; Araneidae. The record is from RNAcentral.